Molecule: unclassified non-coding RNA, 444 nt
Filed under: Hevea brasiliensis (rubber tree)
Lineage: Eukaryota; Viridiplantae; Streptophyta; Magnoliopsida; Malpighiales; Euphorbiaceae
Source: RNAcentral
CUAUUAUCAUCAGUGCUCAAACAUCGUAUAUGUCGCUCAAGCCAAGAAACAUUCUCCAACUUGUUGAAGGAUCCAAUUAGUGCUAAUGAGACUUGUUUCUGGAUUUGGUUCAUGAUGUGUAUUGACGAAGAGGAAUGAUGAGACGAAAAGCUGAAUGCUCUUGAAAGACAUGAGGAAGUUCAAGCAAGUAUAUGUUAAUGUGACGAAUAUUUCAUUCUAGCCAUUGGUUUGCAUAAAGUUCAGUUCAUACACCAGUUUUUGUUCAAUUUCCCACAUGUUGUUCAAGGGUCUCUCUCUCAAUUUUUAUUUUUUGUAGGACAGCCUUGUUGCAUCAUUUUAUUUAAGUUGCUUGUCUGGAACUCCAUUUUUUUUUUAAUGAGAGGAGCUCCAUUUUGCAUGUCCCUCAAAAGGGAAAUGUCUUGUGCCCUUGUUGAUUUCACUUUA